This 72-nucleotide transfer RNA is filed under the name Ictidomys tridecemlineatus (thirteen-lined ground squirrel). Its description in RNAcentral is "Spermophilus tridecemlineatus (thirteen-lined ground squirrel) tRNA". It matches the Rfam family "tRNA". Rfam says of the family: Transfer RNA (tRNA) molecules are approximately 80 nucleotides in length. Their secondary structure includes four short double-helical elements and three loops (D, anti-codon, and T loops). Further hydrogen bonds mediate the characteristic L-shaped molecular structure. tRNAs have two regions of fundamental functional importance: the anti-codon, which is responsible for specific mRNA codon recognition, and the 3' end, to which the tRNAs corresponding amino acid is attached (by aminoacyl-tRNA synthetases). tRNAs cope with the degeneracy of the genetic code in two manners: having more than one tRNA (with a specific anti-codon) for a particular amino acid; and 'wobble' base-pairing, i.e. permitting non-standard base-pairing at the 3rd anti-codon position. Lineage: Eukaryota; Metazoa; Chordata; Mammalia; Rodentia; Sciuridae. The record is from Rfam by way of RNAcentral.
GAGGAUAUAGCUCAGUUGGUAGAGUGCUUGCCUUGCAUACACAAGGCCUUGGGUUCAAUCCCCAAUACCACA